RNAcentral lists this small RNA (628 nucleotides) under Vigna angularis var. angularis. RNAcentral describes it as "Non-protein coding transcript". The record is from RNAcentral. Lineage: Eukaryota; Viridiplantae; Streptophyta; Magnoliopsida; Fabales; Fabaceae.
ACUUAAGAUAACUUAACAUUAGAUACUUCCAUAUUUGUAAUAUGAUGUUACCACAGCAAACAUACAAAAAGUAACUAUUACAGCGUGAAUUUUAAAUUGUACCCAACAAAAAGAAUCAGGUAAAAGGUAUCGUGAAUAACUUAAAAUAGAAAACGGAAGCAGCAUCACUGAUAAAAUACAAUAACUUCAAGCAGGAGUAUAACUUGAAAGUAUUUUCUUACACAGCUAAAGGUGUCAGCUAAUAUGUAGGGAACUUGGGAUCCACGUUGUAUGCCCAAGACUCUAAGCCCCCAACAAUGUCCUUGGCAGAUGUGAAACCCAUUUUGUGAAGACACUGAACAGCCCUUUGAGAAUCAUUUCCCCUUCUGCACACUACAUAUAAUUGUGCACCUGAUCCAGAAACUAGACCACUGUCCUCCUCUUUCUUCAAAGCUGCUGAUAUUUCAGGUAGCCGAGACUCUAACGUUGAGAGUGGAAUGUUCAGGGACUUCGGUAGAGAUACAAUCUUGAAAUGGUGAGCUGGUCUAACAUCAACCAGCACAUGUGGUUCCUUCUUAAGAAUUAUUUCACUGUAUUCCUUGCUGCUGAUUCUAGAUUCACUCGGAAGUAGAUGUAACUUCAAAGGAGG